RNAcentral lists this ribosomal RNA (1515 nucleotides) under Bacteroides faecis MAJ27. RNAcentral describes it as "bacterial LSU rRNA". It matches the Rfam family "Bacterial large subunit ribosomal RNA", at positions 1 to 1529 of the family's 2925-position model. The record is from RNAcentral. Lineage: Bacteria; Pseudomonadati; Bacteroidota; Bacteroidia; Bacteroidales; Bacteroidaceae.
UGAAAGAAAGUAAGCAAGGGCGCAUGGCGGAUGCCUUGGCUCUCGGAGGCGAUGAAGGACGUGAUAAGCUGCGAUAAGCUCUGGGUAGGUGCAAAUAACCUUUGAUCCAGAGAUUUCCGAAUGGGACAACCCGGCAUUCUGAAGGAAUGUCAUCCAUCUUUGAUGGAAGCUAACGCAGGGAACUGAAACAUCUUAGUACCUGCAGGAAAAGAAAAUAAUAAUGAUUCCCCUAGUAGUGGCGAGCGAACGGGGAAUAGCCCAAACCACCCAUGUUACGGCAUGUGUGGGGUUGUAGGACCACGAUAUCGCAAGACAUCUGAUGAAUAGAAUCCUCUGGAAAGUGGAACCAUAGACGGUGAUAGUCCUGUAUAUGAAGUCAGAUUAAGCGUAGUGGUAUCCUGAGUAGCGCGGGACACGAGAAAUCUUGCGUGAAUCUGCCGGGACCAUCCGGUAAGGCUAAAUACUCCCGAGAGACCGAUAGCGAACCAGUACUGUGAAGGAAAGGUGAAAAGCACUUCGAACAGAAGAGUGAAAUAGUCCCUGAAACCGUGCGCCUACAAGCGGUCGGAGCUGCGUAAGCAGUGACGGCGUGCCUUUUGCAUAAUGAACCUACGAGUUACUUUUUCCGGCAAGGUUAAGCAUCUUGAGAUGUGCAGCCGAAGCGAAAGCGAGUCUGAACAGGGCGUCGAGUCGGAAGGAGUAGACGCGAAACCAAGUGAUCUACCCUUGGUCAGGUUGAAGGUUAGGUAACACUAACUGGAGGACCGAACCGAUAAGCGUUGAAAAGCUUCCGGAUGAACUGAGGGUGGGGGUGAAAGGCUAAUCAAACUUGGAGAUAGCUCGUACUCCCCGAAAUGCAUUUAGGUGCAGCCUUGUGAGUUACUAAUGUGAGGUAGAGCGACUGAUAAGAUGCGAGGGCUUCACCGCCUAUCAAGUCUUGAUAAACUCCGAAUGCGCAUUAGUUCUAUCACAGGAGUGAGGGCAUGGGUGCUAAGGUCCAUGUCCUAAAGGAGAAGAAUCCAGACCAUCAGCUAAGGUCCCGAAAUAAACACUAAGUUGAACUAACGAAGUCAGAUUGCUAAGACAGCUAGGAUGUUGGCUUGGAAGCAGCCAUUCAUUUAAAGAGUGCGUAACAGCUCACUAGUCGAGGAGUUUGGCGUGGAUAAUAAUCGGGCAUCAAGUGUUUUACCGAAGCUAUGGGAUCAGUAAUGAUCGGUAGGGGAGCAUUCCACUCAGCGUCGAAGGUGAAGCGUGAGCUUUGCUGGAGCGUGUGGAAAAGCAAAUGUAGGUAUAAGUAACGAUAAAGGGGGUGAGAAACCCCCUCGCCGAAAGACUAAGGUUUCCUGAUCAACGCUAAUCGGAUCAGGGUUAGUCGGGUCCUAAGGCUCAGCCGAACGGUGAGGCCGAUGGCAGAACAGGUUAAUAUUCCUGUACUACCUUAAGGAGUGACGUGGAGACGGAGGCGUGACAGCGCCGCGGACUGACGGAAUAGUCCGUUGAAGGGUGUAGAUGCUG